GUGCUUGCUUUGGCAGCACACAUACUAAAAUUAGAACGACAGAGAUUAGCAUGGCCCUGCAAAGGAUGACACACAAAUUUGUGAAGCGUUCCAUAUUUUU
Molecule: small nuclear RNA, 100 nt
Filed under: Octodon degus (degu)
Lineage: Eukaryota; Metazoa; Chordata; Mammalia; Rodentia; Octodontidae
Source: RNAcentral